CCUACGGGAUGCAGCAGUGAGGAAUAUUGGUCAAUGGGCGCUAGCCUGAACCAGCCAAGUAGCGUGAAGGAUGACUGCCCUAUGGGUUGUAAACUUCUUUUAUAUGGGAAUAAAGUGCAGUAUGUAUACUGCUUUGCAUGUACCUUAUGAAUAAGGAUCGGCUAACUCCGUGCCAGCAGCCGCGGUAAUACGGAGGAUCCGAGCGUUAUCCGGAUUUAUUGGGUUUAAAGGGAGCGUAGGCGGGUUGUUAAGUCAGUUGUGAAAGUUUGCGGCUCAACCGUAAAAUUGCAGUUGAUACUGGCAGCCUUGAGUACAGUAGAGGUAGGCGGAAUUCGUGGUGUAGCGGUGAAAUGCUUAGAUAUCACGAAGAACUCCGAUUGCGAAGGCAGCCUGCUGAACUGUAACUGACGCUGAUGCUCGAAAGUGUGGGUAUCAAACAGGAUUAGAUACCCCAGUAGUC
Molecule: ribosomal RNA, 460 nt
Filed under: uncultured bacterium
Lineage: Bacteria
Description: partial 16S ribosomal RNA
Rfam family: Bacterial small subunit ribosomal RNA
Source: RNAcentral